GAUGAACGCUGGCGGCGUGCCUAAUACAUGCAAGUCGAGCGAACGGACGAGAAGCUUGCUUCUCUGAUGUUAGCGGCGGACGGGUGAGUAACACGUGGAUAACCUACCUAUAAGACUGGGAUAACUUCGGGAAACCGGAGCUAAUACCGGAUAAUAUUUUGAACCGCAUGGUUCAAAAGUGAAAGACGGUCUUGCUGUCACUUAUAGAUGGAUCCGCGCUGCAUUAGCUAGUUGGUAAGGUAACGGCUUACCAAGGCAACGAUGCAUAGCCGACCUGAGAGGGUGAUCGGCCGCACUGGAACUGAGACACGGUCCAGACUCCUACGGGAGGCAGCAGUAGGGAAUCUUCCGCAAUGGGCGAAAGCCUGACGGAGCAACGCCGCGUGAGUGAUGAAGGUCUUCGGAUCGUAAAACUCUGUUAUUAGGGAAGAACAUAUGUGUAAGUAACUGUGCACAGCUUGACGGUACCUAAUCAGAAAGCCACGGCUAACUACGUG
Molecule: ribosomal RNA, 497 nt
Filed under: uncultured bacterium
Lineage: Bacteria
Description: partial 16S ribosomal RNA
Rfam family: Bacterial small subunit ribosomal RNA
Source: RNAcentral